Long non-coding RNA from Melanotaenia boesemani (Boeseman's rainbowfish), 269 nucleotides. RefSeq lists it as uncharacterized. The record is from RefSeq and is a predicted model, not a curated record. The transcript is spliced from 3 exons. Lineage: Eukaryota; Metazoa; Chordata; Actinopteri; Atheriniformes; Melanotaeniidae.
CAGAUGCUGCAGUUUCAGCCUGUCUCCUGAUACAAAGUGGAAAUAUUCCUCAGAAGCACAGCGACACAUUAUCAGGACUGGAUGUGAGGAUGGAGCAGACUUUGCUCUGUGUGAUGGAGCUACUGUUGAUCAGUUCACUCUUCCAUUGUGGACAUGCUGAAGGACCUGUCCUCUCUGUGUCUCCAUCAUGGCUGAGUCCUGGAUCCUCAGUAACUCUGAGAUGUGAGAUUAAACCUCCGUCUGCAGGAUGGAGGUUCUACUGGUAUAAA